UCAACCAUCAAGCCUGGCUUGCUGUUGGACCAUGUAUAUGCUGGUAAUCGGCAAUAGCAGGUCUUCAAGGUAGCGGCGGUGUCGUGGUGGACCCCGGAUACAACGAGCUUUCUACAGCAUGUAUCAAGGUGGCCCACCGGUCCAGCCUCACUGGAAUCUCACAUCUCAA
This 169-nucleotide unclassified non-coding RNA is filed under the name uncultured Herpotrichiellaceae. RNAcentral describes it as "sequence contains ITS2". The record is from RNAcentral. Lineage: Eukaryota; Fungi; Ascomycota; Eurotiomycetes; Chaetothyriales; Herpotrichiellaceae.